RNAcentral lists this ribosomal RNA (164 nucleotides) under Enterobacter cloacae subsp. dissolvens. RNAcentral's name for it is "partial 16S ribosomal RNA". It matches the Rfam family "Bacterial small subunit ribosomal RNA", at positions 1370 to 1533 of the family's 1533-position model. The record is from RNAcentral. Lineage: Bacteria; Pseudomonadati; Pseudomonadota; Gammaproteobacteria; Enterobacterales; Enterobacteriaceae.
GUUCCCGGGCCUUGUACACACCGCCCGUCACACCAUGGGAGUGGGUUGCAAAAGAAGUAGGUAGCUUAACCUUCGGGAGGGCGCUUACCACUUUGUGAUUCAUGACUGGGGUGAAGUCGUAGCGAGGUAACCGUAGGGGAACCUGCGGUUGGAUCACCUCCUUA